This 495-nucleotide ribosomal RNA is filed under the name uncultured bacterium. RNAcentral's name for it is "partial 16S ribosomal RNA". It matches the Rfam family "Bacterial small subunit ribosomal RNA", at positions 30 to 507 of the family's 1533-position model. The record is from RNAcentral.
UGACCGCUGGCGGCGUGCCUAAUACAUGCAAGUCGAGCGAACGGACGCGAAGCUUGCUUCUCUGAUGUUAGCGGCGGACGGGUGAGUAACACGUGGAUAACCUACCUAUAAGACUGGGAUAACUUCGGGAAACCGGAGCUAAUACCGGAUAAUAUUUUGAACCGCAUGGUUCAAAAGUGAAAGACGGUCUUGCUGUCACUUAUAGAUGGAUCCGCGCUGCAUUAGCUAGUUGGUAAGGUAACGGCUUACCAAGGCAACGAUGCAUAGCCGACCUGAGAGGGUGAUCGGCCACACUGGAACUGAGACACGGUCCAGACUCCUACGGGAGGCAGCAGUAGGGAAUCUUCCGCAAUGGGCGAAAGCCUGACGGAGCAACGCCGCGUGAGUGAUGAAGGUCUUCGGAUCGUAAAACUCUGUUAUUAGGGAAGAACAUAUGUGUAAGUAACUGUGCACAUCUUGACGGUACCUAAUCAGAAAGCCACGGCUAACUACGUG